RNAcentral lists this ribosomal RNA (332 nucleotides) under uncultured bacterium. RNAcentral describes it as "partial 16S ribosomal RNA". It matches the Rfam family "Bacterial small subunit ribosomal RNA", at positions 338 to 668 of the family's 1533-position model. The record is from RNAcentral.
CCUACGGGAGGCAGCAGUGAGGAAUAUUGGUCAAUGGCCGGAAGGCUGAACCAGCCAAGCCGCGUGAAGGACGAAGGUGCCAAGCAUUGUAAACUUCUUUUGUCAAGGGACAAAAUCAGGCUCGAGAGCCUGACCGAGUGUACUUGAAGAAAAAGCAUCGGCUAACUCCGUGCCAGCAGCCGCGGUAAUACGGAGGAUGCGAGCGUUCUCCGGUUUUAUUGGGUGUAAAGGGUGCGUACGGGGGCGGUUAAGUCAGCGGUAAAAGCCCGGGGCUCACCCCCGGCGAGCCGUUGAAGCGGGCUGUCUUGAGAUGACGAGAGGUAUGCGGAAUG